GAUGAUACGCGAGGAACCUUACCCGGGCUUGAACUGCAGGAGAACGAUUCAGAGAUGAUGAGGUCCUUCGGGACUCCUGUGGAGGUGCUGCAUGGUUGUCGUCAGCUCGUGCCGUGAGGUGUCGGCUUAAGUGCCAUAACGAGCGCAACCCCUGCUGCCAGUUGCCAUCACUUCGGGUGGGCACUCUGGCAGGACUGCCACCGUAAGGUGCGAGGAAGGUGGGGAUGACGUCAAAUCAGCACGGCCCUUACGUCCGGGGCUACACACGUGUUACAAUGGGUGGUACAGAGAGUCGGUGCAUGGCAAUGUGCAUCCAAUCAGGAAAGCCAUCCUCAGUUCGGAUUGGGGUCUGCAACCCGACCCCAUGAAGCUGGAUUCGCUAGUAAUCGCGCAUCAGCCAUGGCGCGGUGAAUACGUUCCCGGGCCUUGUACACACCGCCCGUCAAGCCAUGAAAGCCUGGGGCGCCUGAAGUCCGUGACCGCGAGGGUCGGCCUAGGGUGAAACAGGUGAUUGGGGCUAAGUCGUAACAAGGUAGCCGUA
RNAcentral lists this ribosomal RNA (541 nucleotides) under uncultured bacterium. Its description in RNAcentral is "bacterial SSU rRNA". It matches the Rfam family "Bacterial small subunit ribosomal RNA", at positions 953 to 1504 of the family's 1533-position model. The record is from RNAcentral.